UACAGAGGUGGCAAGCGUUGUUCGGAAUUACUGGGCGUAAAGGGCGCGUAGGCGGCCAUCUAAGUCAGACGUGAAAUCCCCCGGCUUAACCUGGGAACUGCGUCUGAUACUGGACGGCUUGAGUUUGGGAGAGGGAUGCAGAAUUCCAGGUGUAGCGGUGAAAUGCGUAGAUAUCUGGAGGAAUACCGGUGGCGAAGGCGGCAUCCUGGACCGGCAUUGACGCUGAGGGAGCGAAAGCCAGGGGAGCAAACGGG
This 254-nucleotide ribosomal RNA is filed under the name uncultured bacterium. RNAcentral's name for it is "partial 16S ribosomal RNA". It matches the Rfam family "Bacterial small subunit ribosomal RNA", at positions 524 to 776 of the family's 1533-position model. The record is from RNAcentral.